GACGAACGCUAGCGGCAUGCCUAAUACAUGCAAGUCGAGCGAAUGAUGAAGAAGCUUGCUUCUUCCGAUUUAGCGGCGGACGGGUGAGUAACACGUGGGCAACCUGCCCUGUAGAUUGGGAUAACUCCGGGAAACCGGGGCUAAUACCGAAUAAUCCAUUUCCUCUCAUGGGGAGAUGUUAAAAGACGGUUUCGGCUGUCACUGCAGGAUGGGCCCGCGGCGCAUUAGCUAGUUGGUGAGGUAACGGCUCACCAAGACUUCGAUGGGUAGCCGGCCUGAGAGGGUGAACGGCCACACUGGAACUGAGACGCGGUCCAG
This 318-nucleotide ribosomal RNA is filed under the name uncultured bacterium. RNAcentral describes it as "bacterial SSU rRNA". It matches the Rfam family "Bacterial small subunit ribosomal RNA", at positions 28 to 334 of the family's 1533-position model. The record is from RNAcentral.